AUUGAACGCUGGCGGCAUGCCUUACACAUGCGAGUCGAACGGCAGCACGGGUGCUUGCACCUGGUGGCGAGUGGCGAACGGGUGAGUAAUACAUCGGAACAUGUCCUGUAGUGGGGGAUAGCCCGGCGAAAGCCGGAUUAAUACCGCAUACGAUCUACGGAUGAAAGCGGGGGACCUUCGGGCCUCGCGCUAUAGGGUUGGCCGAUGGCUGAUUAGGUAGUUGGUGGGGUAAAGGCCUACCAAGGCGACGAUCAGUAGCUGGUCUGAGAGGACGACAAGCCACACUGGGACUGAGACACGGCCCAGACUCCUACGGGAGGCAGCAGUGGGGAAUUUUGGACAAUGGGCGAAAGCCUGAUCCAGCAAUGCCGCGUGUGUGAAGAAGGCCUUCGGGUUGUAAAGCACUUUUGUCCGGAAAGAAAUCCUUGGCCCUAAUACGGUCGGGGGAUGACGGUACCGGAAGAAUAAGCACCGGCUAACUACGUG
RNAcentral lists this ribosomal RNA (486 nucleotides) under uncultured bacterium. RNAcentral describes it as "partial 16S ribosomal RNA". It matches the Rfam family "Bacterial small subunit ribosomal RNA", at positions 30 to 507 of the family's 1533-position model. The record is from RNAcentral.